Molecule: small nuclear RNA, 122 nt
Organism: Ictidomys tridecemlineatus (thirteen-lined ground squirrel)
Lineage: Eukaryota; Metazoa; Chordata; Mammalia; Rodentia; Sciuridae
Source: Ensembl
GUAUUGUAUGAAAGGAGAGAAGGUUAGCAUUCCCCUUGAAAAGAAUGGAAGAGGUCCUCGUCCUGACAAGCAUAUGAUCAAGCCAUUGCCACCUAUUUUGUGGAAUCUAACCAUCAUUUUUC